RNAcentral lists this long non-coding RNA (255 nucleotides) under Homo sapiens (human). RNAcentral's name for it is "LNC_000402". Lineage: Eukaryota; Metazoa; Chordata; Mammalia; Primates; Hominidae. The record is from RNAcentral.
AGCCAGGCGAGUCAGCUUGCCCUGCAGCACUGACUUCUCCUUUUUAGGCACCUUGACUGCCUUCUUGUCCUUUUCCUCAUUGUCGAUUCCCUCCUGGCUGUUGAGUGGCUGGAUUUCCAGGGCCACUCCGUCUUGGGUCUUUGCUUUGUUGCGAUUUUCAGGGACUCCUUGUUUUUUACCUUUCUUCUUUUUCUCCCCUUCGUCAUCCUCAUUGACCCCCAAGAGAGUAAGGAUGAUUCCAGUCUGAGAGUUGAC